GUUGAGCGACUAACCAGGCUUCGGCCUGGGGCAAAGCAGCGAACGGGUGAGUAACACGUGGGUAACCUGCCCCGAUGACCGGGACAACCCGAGGAAACUCGGGCUAAUACCGGAUGUGCUUCACAUACAUCAGUGUGUGAAGCAAAGGAAGCUUCGGCCUCCGCAUCGGGAGGGGCCCGCGGCCCAUUAGCUAGUUGGUGAGGUAACGGCUCACCAAGGCUGCGAUGGGUAGCUGGUCUGAGAGGACGAUCAGCCACACUGGGACUGAGACACGGCCCAGACUCCUACGGGAGGCAGCAGUGGGGAAUCUUGCGCAAUGCGCGAAAGCGUGACGCAGCAACGCCGCGUGAGGGAAGACGGCCUUCGGGUUGUAAACCUCUUUCAGGAGGGACGAAGGGUCGGCCGCGAAUAGCGUGCCGGCUUGACGGUACCUUCAGAAGAAGCUCCGGCUAACUACGUGCCAGCAGCCGCGGUAAUACGUAGGGAGCAAGCGUUGUCCGGAAUCAUUGGGCGUAAAGCGCGCGUAGGCGGCCUCAUAAGUCCGUUGUGAAAGUCAAAGGCUCAACCUUUGAAUGCCGAUGGAUACUGUGAGGCUAGAGUCCGGAAGAGGCGAGUGGAAUUCCUGGUGUAGCGGUGGAAUGCGCAGAUAUCAGGAGGAACACCAACGGCGAAGGCAGCUCGCUGGGACGGUACUGACGCUAAGGCGCGAAAGCGUGGGGAGCGAACAGGGUUAGAUACCCUGGUAGUCCACGCCGUAAACG
Molecule: ribosomal RNA, 761 nt
Filed under: uncultured microorganism
Description: bacterial SSU rRNA
Rfam family: Bacterial small subunit ribosomal RNA
Source: RNAcentral